Molecule: long non-coding RNA, 1294 nt
Organism: Ictalurus punctatus (channel catfish)
Lineage: Eukaryota; Metazoa; Chordata; Actinopteri; Siluriformes; Ictaluridae
Source: Ensembl
CUCUCUCUCUCACUCUCUCUCUGUCUCUCUCUGUCUCUCUCUUUCUCUCUCUCUCUCUCUCUCUCUGUCUCUCUCUCUGUCCCCCUGAUACUCUACCUCAAUGACUAAAACACAUAAAUUAGAGAAACAGAAACUCACUCUCGCACACACACACACUCGCACACACGUUCUGUAGCUAGCUGUAGCACACCAGCGAAACCAUGGCAACUGUCACUAAACUAAAAACAGAAACAUUCAGCUUUGGAAACGAAUGCAUGAGAAGUUAAAGGUCAGAGGUCACGUCCUGAUUCGUGUAGGAAAGAAGGAGUAAAGUGUGUGAUGCAUAUCUGCGCUGGAAAAUUCUUCUAAUGAAUAUUCAGAAUCAGACCUCUAUUUAACACCGUGUGUGUGUGUGUGUGUGUGUGUGUGUGUGAUCUCUCUCCUCCACCAUCAUUACUAAAGAUGGAAACCUGUUAAACCCCUUAUAGGCUAUUUACAAUCUCUACCUCCCCCCACUCUCUCCCCCCAUUUCCCUGUCUGUCUUUCUCCAUUGGUCUCCCCCUAAUCUGUCUCUCUUUCGCCAUCGGCCUCUCUCUCUCGCUUUCGCCGCCGGCCUCUCUCUCUCGCUUCUGCCGUCGGCCUCUCUCUCUCUCUCGCCAUCAGUGCCUCUCUCUCUCUCUUUCGCCGUCGGUGCCUCUCUCUCUCUCUUUCGCUGUCGGUGCCUCUCUCUCUCUCUUUCGCCGUCGGCCUCUCUCUCUCUCUCACUUUGUCCUUCUCUCCUGGUCCUUCUUUCCUGACUGCCUGUCUGUCUCUCUUUCUCUCUGUCUCUCUCAUGCUGUCUUUCUCGAUCACGCCUGCUGUCUCCCUCCCCAUCUCUCCCAGCUUUACCUCUGACAGUUACAAAGCGCUGACACUGGAGACUCCUUCCGUAAAAUGUUAAACAGAAAACGAUUCUUAAAAACCAGUUUACGCGGCGCGUCCUCCGUACGAGUCCCCGUGAACGAGCCGUCACCACAGAAACGAUAACAUGCCGGAACGACCGCAUUAACAUAAACGAAUCAAAAUCGCCGCCUUCCGACCAAUCAGAAUCCGGAACUCGACAGCGCAGCGCUACGGCGUGAACCGUCAAUUCCAGUUAAUGAUCAUCGGCCGUGGUUCUCACCGUCAGGAGGAGGUGGAGGAAAGUCGUCCUGCUCCAUGCUGGAUUAUCUCUUCACACGCUCGACUGGAUCCGCAGAGGUCUCACACACACACCUGGGUGAGAGAGGGAACGGAAAUAAGAUACAGGUGAAGGCGCAGACACGCGACAUCAACC